ACGGCUCAGUAACACGUGGAUAACCUGCCCUUGGGUCCGGCAUAACCCCGGGAAACUGGGGAUAAUUCCGGAUAACGCACAUAUGCUGGAAUGCUUUAUGCGUCAAAUGGAUUCGUCUGCCCAAGGAUGGGUCUGCGGCCUAUCAGGUAGUAGUGGGUGUAAUGUACCUACUAGCCGACGACGGGUACGGGUUGUGAGAGCAAGAGCCCGGAGAUGGAUUCUGAGACAUGAAUCCAGGCCCUACGGGGCGCAGCAGGCGCGAAAACUUUACAAUGCGGGAAACCGUAAUAAGGGGACACCGAGUGCCAGCAUCAUAUGCUGGCUGUCCGGGUGUGUAAAAUACACCUGUUAGCAAGGGCCGGGCAAGACCGGUGCCAGCCGCCGCGGUAACACCGGCGGCCCGAGUGGUGAUCGUGAUUAUUGGGUCUAAAGGGUCCGUAGCCGGUUUGGUCAGUCCUCCGGGAAAUCUGACGGCUUAACCGUUAGGCUUUCGGAGGAUACUGCCAGGCUUGGAACCGGGAGAGGUAAGAGGUACUACAGGGGUAGGAGUGAAAUCUUGUAAUCCCUGUGGGACCACCUGUGGCGAAGGCGUCUUACCAGAACGGGUUCGACGGUGAGGGACGAAAGCUGGGGGCACGAACCGGAUUAGAUACCCGGGUAGUCCCAGCCGUAAACGAUGCUCGCUAGGUGUCAGGCAUGGCGCGACCGUGUCUGGUGCCGCAGGGAAGCCGUGAAGCGAGCCACCUGGGAAGUACGGCCGCAAGGCUGAAACUUAAAGGAAUUGGCGGGGGAGCAC
Molecule: ribosomal RNA, 796 nt
Filed under: uncultured archaeon
Lineage: Archaea
Description: bacterial SSU rRNA
Rfam family: Archaeal small subunit ribosomal RNA
Source: RNAcentral